Molecule: long non-coding RNA, 251 nt
Filed under: Elaeis guineensis (African oil palm)
Lineage: Eukaryota; Viridiplantae; Streptophyta; Magnoliopsida; Arecales; Arecaceae
Description: long non-coding RNA (EGUI_LNC075979)
Source: RNAcentral
AUGUGGGUUUGAGAUGGAUUUGAGAUUUAUCCCUCUUAUACCCCCUAUCCAAAUCUGAUUAUAUAUAUAUAUAUAUAUUAUAAUUUUUUAUAAAAUAUAUCCUUAUAAUAUGUAGACAACAUAGCAACCAUAUUUUCAUAAAUAGAUUGACAAUUUAUUAUACCAUUUACACUCUUAUAUAUGGUAAGACCUUUUCCCACAUUGGUUGAUCAUUUCUUUUUCUUUUCACUUGGAAGGAGAGUACCCGAGGG